This 497-nucleotide ribosomal RNA is filed under the name uncultured bacterium. RNAcentral's name for it is "partial 16S ribosomal RNA". It matches the Rfam family "Bacterial small subunit ribosomal RNA", at positions 28 to 507 of the family's 1533-position model. The record is from RNAcentral.
GAUGAACGCUGGCGGCGUGCCUAAUACAUGCAAGUCGAGCGAACAGACGAGGAGCUUGCUCCUCUGACGUUAGCGGCGGACGGGUGAGUAACACGUGUAUAACCUACCUAUAAGACUGGGAUAACUUCGGGAAACCGGAGCUAAUACCGGAUAAUAUAUUGAACCGCAUGGUUCAAUAGUGAAAGACGGUUUUGCUGUCACUUAUAGAUGGAUCCGCGCCGCAUUAGCUAGUUGGUAAGGUAACGGCUUACCAAGGCAACGAUGCGUAGCCGAGCUGAGAGGGUGAUCGGCCACCCUGGAACUGAGACACGGUCCAGACUCCUACGGGAGGCAGCAGUAGGGAAUCUUCCGCAAUGGGCGAAAGCCUGACGGAGCAACGCCGCGUGAGUGAUGAAGGUCUUCGGAUCGUAAAACUCUGUUAUUAGGGAAGAACAAAUGUGUAAGUAACUAUGCACGUCUUGACGGUACCUAAUCAGAAAGCCACGGCUAACUACGUG